This 732-nucleotide ribosomal RNA is filed under the name uncultured bacterium. RNAcentral describes it as "bacterial SSU rRNA". It matches the Rfam family "Bacterial small subunit ribosomal RNA", at positions 67 to 794 of the family's 1533-position model. The record is from RNAcentral.
CGGGCGAGGUUGCUUCGGUAACUGAGCUAGCGGCGGACGGGUGAGUAAUGCUUAGGAAUCUGCCUAUUAGUGGGGGACAACAUUCCGAAAGGAAUGCUAAUACCGCAUACGCCCUACGGGGGAAAGCAGGGGAUCUUCGGACCUUGCGCUAAUAGAUGAGCCUAAGUCAGAUUAGCUAGUUGGUGGGGUAAAGGCCUACCAAGGCGACGAUCUGUAGCGGGUCUGAGAGGAUGAUCCGCCACACUGGGACUGAGACACGGCCCAGACUCCUACGGGAGGCAGCAGUGGGGAAUAUUGGACAAUGGGCGCAAGCCUGAUCCAGCCAUGCCGCGUGUGUGAAGAAGGCCUUUUGGUUGUAAAGCACUUUAAGCGAGGAGGAGGCUACUUGGAUUAAUACUCUAGGAUAGUGGACGUUACUCGCAGAAUAAGCACCGGCUAACUCUGUGCCAGCAGCCGCGGUAAUACAGAGGGUGCGAGCGUUAAUCGGAUUUACUGGGCGUAAAGCGUGCGUAGGCGGCUUCUUAAGUCGGAUGUGAAAUCCCUGAGCUUAACUUAGGAAUUGCAUUCGAUACUGGGAAGCUAGAGUAUGGGAGAGGAUGGUAGAAUUCCAGGUGUAGCGGUGAAAUGCGUAGAGAUCUGGAGGAAUACCGAUGGCGAAGGCAGCCAUCUGGCCUAAUACUGACGCUGAGGUACGAAAGCAUGGGGAGCAACAGGAUUAGAUACCCUGGUAGU